Long non-coding RNA from Acanthochromis polyacanthus (spiny chromis), 622 nucleotides. RefSeq lists it as uncharacterized. NCBI's taxonomy places the organism in Eukaryota, Metazoa, Chordata, Actinopteri, Pomacentridae. The transcript has 2 exons. The record is from RefSeq and is a predicted model, not a curated record.
CGUAAGACUUUGUUGAAGAUCUCAUUCAUUGUAGAGAAGAAACAUUUGAAUAUAAAAUACUUUAGGAAGUUGUACUUUGUUCCACUUUAAGUUUGGCCACAUCUGAAGUCCAGAAUGUUAUUUUAAUGGUCUUUCUUACAGAAGAUUCUGACCAAGUAGCAAAGCCGGCAUGUUUUACCCUGGCUGGUCUGACUGUUCUCCUUCUAGUGGUCAUCGCUGGUCUGAUUGUUCAAAACAGAAAACUUAAGACUGGUACUGUCUAACUUAUAUUUGGUUUUCCUGAUACCUGUGUCAACAAUCAUAAAAAUAGUUUAAUAAAAAUGAUGGUCAGCUAACCAUUUUUUCCUGUCGUUUCAUCUAGCUAAUAAAGAAGAACAGAAUCCAAACCAAAAUGAGAAUCUUGGUUCGGAUGACCUGAAUUACGCUGCAGUGGCAUUUCGACCAAAAGUUACAAGAAGAAGAGAGCUGGAGCCAAAUGUGAUUUAUGCUGCCACCAGAUAGACUCAGGCGUUAACUGGAACUGGUGCUGUAUUAUAUCAGUACAUUCUGAGGCUUCACAUGGCUGUUUGUGAGAGCUAUACCUACUGUUGAUGAAAAAUGUCCAAUAAAGAUGCAAUGCUAA